UCAACAGAGGGAUGCAAAACUGCGAAGUGGAGCGAACCCCCAAAAGCCGUCUCAGUUCGGAUCGCAGGCUGCAACCCGCCUGCGUGAAGUCGGAAUCGCUAGUAAUCGCGGAUCAGCAUGCCGCGGUGAAUACGUUCCCGGGCCUUGUACACACCGCCCGUCACACCAUGGGAGUCGGUAACACCCGAAGUCGGUAGCCUAACCGUAAGGAGGGCGCCGCCGAAGGUGGGAUUGAUGACUGGGGUGAAGUCGUAACAAGGUACC
Molecule: ribosomal RNA, 264 nt
Filed under: uncultured bacterium
Lineage: Bacteria
Description: partial 16S ribosomal RNA
Rfam family: Bacterial small subunit ribosomal RNA
Source: RNAcentral